This 468-nucleotide ribosomal RNA is filed under the name uncultured bacterium. RNAcentral's name for it is "partial 16S ribosomal RNA". It matches the Rfam family "Bacterial small subunit ribosomal RNA", at positions 28 to 507 of the family's 1533-position model. The record is from RNAcentral.
GACGAACGCUGGCGGCGUGCUUAACACAUGCAAGUCGAACGGAAAGGCCCUGCUUUUGUGGGGUGCUCGAGUGGCGAACGGGUGAGUAACACGUGAGUAACCUGCCCUUGACUUUGGGAUAACUUCAGGAAACUGGGGCUAAUACCGGAUAGGAGCUCCUGCUGCAUGGUGGGGGUUGGAAAGUUUCGGCGGUUGGGGAUGGACUCGCGGCUUAUCAGCUUGUUGGUGGGGUAGUUGCUUACCAAGGCUUUGACGGGUAGCCGGCCUGAGAGGGUGACCGGCCACAUUGGGACUGAGAUACGGACCAGAAUCCUACGGGAGGCAGCAGUGGGGAAUAUUGCACAAUGGGCGGAAGCCUGAUGCAGCAACGCCGCGUGCGGGAUGACGGCCUUCGGGUUGUAAACCGCUUUCGCCUGUGACGAAGCGUGAGUGACGGUAAUGGGUAAAGAAGCACCGGCUAACUACGUG